CUUGGUCAUUUAGAGGAAGUAAAAGUCGUAACAAGGUCUCCGUUGGUGAACCAGCGGAGGGAUCAUUACCGAGUUUACAACUCCCAAACCCCUGUGAACAUACCACUUGUUGCCUCGGCGGAUCAGCCCGCUCCCGGUAAAACGGGACGGCCCGCCAGAGGACCCCUAAACUCUGUUUCUAUAUGUAACUUCUGAGUAAAACCAUAAAUAAAUCAAAACUUUCAACAACGGAUCUCUUGGUUCUGGCAUCGAUGAAGAACGCAGCAAAAUGCGAUAAGUAAUGUGAAUUGCAGAAUUCAGUGAAUCAUCGAAUCUUUGAACGCACAUCGCGCCCGCCAGUAUUCUGGCGGGCAUGCCUGUUCGAGCGUCAUUUCAACCCUCAAGCACAGCUUGGUGUUGGGACUCGCGUUAAUUCGCGUUCCUCAAAUUGAUUGGCGGUCACGUCGAGCUUCCAUAGCGUAGUAGUAAAACCCUCGUUACUGGUAAUCGUCGCGGCCACGCCGUUAAACCCCAACUUCUGAAUGUUGACCUCGGAUCAGGUAGGAAUACCCGCUGAACUUAAGCAUAUCAAUAAGCGGAGGA
RNAcentral lists this ribosomal RNA (582 nucleotides) under uncultured fungus. RNAcentral describes it as "eukaryotic LSU rRNA". The stretch from base 217 to 370 matches the Rfam family "5.8S ribosomal RNA". The record is from RNAcentral. Lineage: Eukaryota; Fungi.